This 464-nucleotide ribosomal RNA is filed under the name uncultured bacterium. RNAcentral's name for it is "partial 16S ribosomal RNA". It matches the Rfam family "Bacterial small subunit ribosomal RNA", at positions 339 to 795 of the family's 1533-position model. The record is from RNAcentral.
CUACGGGUGGCUCCAGUGGGGAAUAUUGGACAAUGGGGGGAACCCUGAUCCAGCCAUGCCGCGUGUGUGAAGAAGGCCUUUUGGUUGUAAAGCACUUUAAGCAGUGAAGAAGACUCUUCGGUUAAUACCCGGGGACGAUGACAUUAGCUGCAGAAUAAGCACCGGCUAACUCUGUGCCAGCAGCCGCGGUAAUACAGAGGGUGCAAGCGUUAAUCGGAAUUACUGGGCGUAAAGCGAGCGUAGGUGGCUUGAUAAGUCAGAUGUGAAAUCCCCGGGCUUAACCUGGGAACUGCAUCUGAAACUGUUAGGCUAGAGUAGGUGAGAGGGAAGUAGAAUUUCAGGUGUAGCGGUGAAAUGCGUAGAGAUCUGAAGGAAUACCGAUGGCGAAGGCAGCUUCCUGGCAUCAUACUGACACUGAGGCUCGAAAGCGUGGGUAGCAAACAGGAUUAGAUACCCCAGUAGUC